GCACCUUCGGGUGAGUGGCAGACGGGUGAGUAACGCGUGGGAACGUGCCUCAAGGUACGGAAUAGCACCGGGAAACUGGUGGUAAUACCGUAUAUCUCCUUCGGGAGAAAGAUUUAUCGCCUUGGGAUCGGCCCGCGUUGGAUUAGCUAGUUGGUGGGGUAAAGGCCUACCAAGGCGACGAUCCAUAGCUGGUCUGAGAGGAUGAUCAGCCACACUGGGACUGAGACACGGCCCAGACUCCUACGGGAGGCAGCAGUGGGGAAUAUUGGACAAUGGGCGCAAGCCUGAUCCAGCCAUGCCGCGUGAGUGAAGAAGGCCUUCGGGUUGUAAAGCUCUUUCACUGGCGAAGAUGAUGACGGUAGCCAGAGAAGAAGCCCCGGCUAACUUCGUGCCAGCAGCCGCGGUAAUACGAAGGGGGCAAGCGUUGUCCGGAAUUACUGGGCGUAAAGGGCGUGUAGGCGGAAUGCCAAGUUAGAUGUGAAAGCCCCGGGCUCAACCUG
Molecule: ribosomal RNA, 500 nt
Filed under: Mycoplana sp. D1
Lineage: Bacteria; Pseudomonadati; Pseudomonadota; Alphaproteobacteria; Hyphomicrobiales; Rhizobiaceae
Description: bacterial SSU rRNA
Rfam family: Bacterial small subunit ribosomal RNA
Source: RNAcentral